Molecule: ribosomal RNA, 371 nt
Filed under: uncultured organism
Description: bacterial SSU rRNA
Rfam family: Bacterial small subunit ribosomal RNA
Source: RNAcentral
CGUAGGAGGCGAGCGUUAUCCGGAUUCACUGGGCGUAAAGCGCGUGCAGGCGGUUUGGUAAGUUGGGCGUGAAAGCUCCCGGCUCAACUGGGAGAGGUCGUUCAAUACUACCAAACUAGAGAGUAGAAGAGGAAGAUGGAAUUCCCGGUGUAGUGGUGAAACGCGUAGAUAUCGGGAGGAACACCAGUGGCGAAGGCGAUCUUCUGGUCUAUUUCUGACGCUCAGACGCGACAGCUAGGGUAGUAAACGGGAUUAGAGACCCCGGUAAUCCUAGCCGUAAACGAUGUGAACUUGGCGUCAGUGGCUUAAACACCAUCGGUGCCGAAGCAAACGCGGUAAGUUCACCGCCUGGGGACUACGGCCGCAAGGUU